GCUGGGCAUAGUGGCCUAUGCCUGUAAUCCCAGCUACUUGGGAGGCUGAGGCAGGAGAAUUACUUGAAUCCAGUAGGUGGAGGUUUCGGUGAGCCAAGAUUGUGUCAUUGAGCUCCAGCCUGGGCAACAAGAGAGUAACUCAUCUCAAAAAAAAAAAAAAAAGUAGUCCCAUCUACAUGGGAGGCUGAGGUGAGAGGAUCGCUUGAGCUCAGGAAUUCUGGGCUGUAGUCUGCUAUGCUGAUCAGGUGUCUGCACUAAGUUCGGCAUCAAUAUGGUGACCUCCCUGGAGCGGGGGACCACCAGGCUGCCUAAGGAGGGGUGAACCGACCAAGGUCAGAAAUGGAGCAGGUCAAAUCUCCUGUGCUGAUCAGUAAUGGGAUCGCACCUGUUAAUAGCCACUGCACUCCAGCUAACCAGGGCAACAUAAUGAGACCCCAUCCCUA
Callithrix jacchus (white-tufted-ear marmoset) is the source of this 443-nucleotide unclassified non-coding RNA. It matches the Rfam family "Metazoan signal recognition particle RNA". From Rfam's summary of the family: The signal recognition particle (SRP) is a universally conserved ribonucleoprotein. It is involved in the co-translational targeting of proteins to membranes. Lineage: Eukaryota; Metazoa; Chordata; Mammalia; Primates; Cebidae. The record is from Ensembl.